Molecule: transfer RNA, 42 nt
Filed under: Aletris pauciflora var. pauciflora
Lineage: Eukaryota; Viridiplantae; Streptophyta; Magnoliopsida; Dioscoreales; Nartheciaceae
Description: partial tRNA-Phe
Source: RNAcentral
UCGGGAUAGCUCAGUUGGUAGAGCAGAGGACUGAAAAUCCUC